UAUAUAGUUAACGUGCCUCUUAGCCUGGGAUAGCCACUGGAAACGGUGAUUAAUACUGGAUACUCCUUCUUGCUUGAUGUAAGUUGGGAAAGGUUUUUCGCUAAGAGAUCGGACUAUAAUGUAUCAGCUAGUUGGUGAGGUAAGAGCUCACCAAGGCGAUGACACAUAGCGGGUUUGAGAGGAUGAUCCGCCACACUGGUACUGAGACACGGACCAGACUCCUACGGGAGCAGCAGUGAGGAAUAUUGCACAAUGGGGGAAACCCUGAUGCAGCAACGCCGCGUGGAGGAUGACGCAUUUCGGUGUGUAAACUCCUUUAUAAGAGAAGAAAAUGACGGUAUCUUAUGAAUAAGUCCCGGCUAACUCCGUGCCAGCCGCUGCGG
RNAcentral lists this ribosomal RNA (383 nucleotides) under uncultured Campylobacterota bacterium. RNAcentral describes it as "bacterial SSU rRNA". It matches the Rfam family "Bacterial small subunit ribosomal RNA", at positions 114 to 520 of the family's 1533-position model. Lineage: Bacteria; Pseudomonadati; Campylobacterota. The record is from RNAcentral.